UAAGGAAUAUUGCUCAAUGGGAGAAAUCCUGAAGCAGCAACGCCGCGUGGAGGAUGAAGGGUUUUUAACUUGUAAACUCCUGUAAAGAAGGAAAAAAUUCCCAUUAGAUGGGAAAUGAUGGUACUUCUGGAGUAAGCCCCGGCUAACUACGUGCCAGCAGCCGCGGUAAUACGUAGGGGGCAAGCGUUGUCCGGAUUUACUGGGUGUAAAGGGUGCUCAGGCGGAUUUGUAAGUCAGAGGUGAAAUCUCACAGCUUAACUGUGAAACUGCCUUUGAUACUGCAAGCCUAGAGUAUGGAAGAGAGUGAUGGAAUAUCUGGUGUAGCAGUGAAAUGCGUAGAUAUCAGAUAGAACACCAAUGGCGAAGGCAGUCACUUGGUCCAUAACUGACGCUAAAGCACGAAAGCGUGGGUAGCAAACAGGAUUAGAUACCCUGGUAGUCCACGCCCUAAACGAUGAAUACUAGAUGUUGGCUUCGCAUGAAGUCAGUAUCUGAGCUAACGCAUUAAGUAUUCCACCCGGGAAGUACGAUCGCAAGGUUGAAACUCAAAUGAAUUGACGGGGUCAUAGCUG
This 572-nucleotide ribosomal RNA is filed under the name uncultured bacterium. RNAcentral's name for it is "partial 16S ribosomal RNA". It matches the Rfam family "Bacterial small subunit ribosomal RNA", at positions 355 to 932 of the family's 1533-position model. The record is from RNAcentral.